AUCUAUUACUAAAUACUACUUUUGGUUCACAUGCUUGUCAUUUUAGAUUCAGAUUUUAUGCAUAUAAAUUCAUAUUAUAGAUCUAUUUGUAAAAGUUUUAAGAUCAAAUCUUAUAUAUAUAUAUUUGUAGAUUAAAUAGUUUAAUCUAAUAUUUUUUCACUGAAAAAUUUUUGAAAUGCAUGCAUGAAACUCCUGCGCAUCCCAAC
RNAcentral lists this long non-coding RNA (206 nucleotides) under Elaeis guineensis (African oil palm). RNAcentral's name for it is "long non-coding RNA (EGUI_LNC038075)". The record is from RNAcentral. Lineage: Eukaryota; Viridiplantae; Streptophyta; Magnoliopsida; Arecales; Arecaceae.